Long non-coding RNA from Setaria italica (foxtail millet), 1195 nucleotides. RefSeq lists it as uncharacterized. The transcript is spliced from 3 exons. NCBI's taxonomy places the organism in Eukaryota, Viridiplantae, Streptophyta, Magnoliopsida, Poales, Poaceae. The record is from RefSeq and is a predicted model, not a curated record.
CUCUCUCUUCCAGCCCUCCUCCGAUUCGUUCAUUGAGCUCCGGUGCCCAACAACGGCCGGCGACGACUUCGGUUCUCCUUCUCCCCCUCCCCAUCCCCCCUCCCCCGCCUUUCUCUCGUAAUGAGGCAUGGCUGCAUUAUGGUUCUGGGAUUUGAGACCGGGGGUUAGGGUUCUUGGAUUUUUUGGCCGGAUGGCCGGUGAAGAGGCUGUGCGCAGCUGCUCCAAGAUCUACAUGGAGGCCUACACCUCCCUCCUCUCCCAUUGCCAUGGCCUAGACUCGGCGGCGCUCAGCAACCUGGAGAAGCUGCAUGGCAAGGUGGCCGACUAGGAGAUGGUGGAGAAGCGUGUUAACCAGGUGCUGCUCGAGGCUGACGACGUGGACGUCUGCUUCCUCAUGAAUAUUUGAACGCGGAGGAAAGCAGCGUCAGGGAAGCCCUAGCAAGGAAUAGCCGUUGUUGUCUUCCCUUUCAGGUAGCAGUAGUUUGCUUUUGUUUCUCUCACCGCCGAUAGAUCGUUGAUGUUCAUAUCAUAAUUGUAAAUUAGGCAAAAUAAUGUAACUCAUUAGGCAAUAAUAUGCUAAUGAAUUAAGCAAAACAAUAUACUUUAGUAGGCUUCUAGAUUAGGCAAAGUUAUAUACUUCAUUAGGCAAUUAAAUACUGUCCAUCAAGCAGUUUAAAAAUGUUUAGUAAGCAUUUUAAUCUCCCUUUUAUUAGUUGUCUUCAUUAGUGGAUCACUUAAAAACUAAAAAACUGUAAUGUUUAGCAAGCAGCUAGCUUCAUUCGCGGGUCGGUACAGGGCACACGUGGACAUGGCCAAGGCCGCGCUCCUGCUCCUCUCCCUGCUGCCCUUCUCCUCCCUCGCCCAGAACCAGGACUUCUGCUGUUCUGCAUCGCCGACCUCGCCGUCUGGCUGCGUGUCGUCGGAGGUUUUGUCAGCAAGGUCACCGAUUCACCGUGCUGGACGAGUCGCAGGUCAGGAAGCUCAAGGCACUGUGUUCGGCGGGAGCGGCUAAUGAACCACUUAUCGAUCUCCAUCGGUCUUUUGGCAUGGCAGGGUUGUUGAGCUUUGAAUUGGUCGUGGUUGUGGUGUUAGAAUAAUUUGUACGCGCGUGGGCACAUGUGCUUGCUUAAUUCUCAGAAAUUGUAACGUCACGUAUCAUUUGAGAUACUUCAAUAUGUUUCUUCUUUUUGACGAA